GGGUCAAUGAUGAGAACUUUAUAUUGUCUGAAGAGAGGUGAUGACAUAAUAAUCAUGCUCAAUAGGAAUACGCUCUGACCU
This is a small nucleolar RNA of Carlito syrichta (Philippine tarsier), 81 nucleotides long. Its record names the gene SNORD115. It matches the Rfam family "Small nucleolar RNA SNORD115". From Rfam's summary of the family: HBII-52 is a member of the C/D class of snoRNAs, which contain the C (UGAUGA) and D (CUGA) box motifs. HBII-52 is encoded in a tandemly repeated array with another C/D snoRNA, HBII-85, in the Prader-Willi syndrome (PWS) region of chromosome 15. HBII-52 is exclusively expressed in the brain but is absent in PWS patients. Lineage: Eukaryota; Metazoa; Chordata; Mammalia; Primates; Tarsiidae. The record is from Ensembl.